This 439-nucleotide RNase P RNA is filed under the name Rhodospirillaceae bacterium. Its description in RNAcentral is "RNase P RNA component class A". It matches the Rfam family "Bacterial RNase P class A". Rfam says of the family: Ribonuclease P (RNase P) is a ubiquitous endoribonuclease, found in archaea, bacteria and eukarya as well as chloroplasts and mitochondria. Its best characterised activity is the generation of mature 5'-ends of tRNAs by cleaving the 5'-leader elements of precursor-tRNAs. Cellular RNase Ps are ribonucleoproteins. The record is from RNAcentral. Lineage: Bacteria; Pseudomonadati; Pseudomonadota; Alphaproteobacteria; Rhodospirillales; Rhodospirillaceae.
CCAGACGGUCGGAUGGCUGCCUUUCGCGUUUCGGCGCGGGGGGAGGAAAGUCCGGGCUCCACGGAAACACGGUGCCGGGUAACGCCCGGCGGGGGCAACCCUAGGGAAAGUGCCACAGAAAGCAAACCGCCCGGCUAAGUUCCAGCUUGCUGGAACAAAGACGGGUAAGGGUGAAAGGGUGCGGUAAGAGCGCACCGCGCUGCCGGUAACGGUAGCGGCAUGGUAAACCCCACCGGGAGCAAAACCGAAUAGGGACGGCCGGCCGGCAUUGCCCCAGGAUUUUGUUCUUGGGUGAUGGCUGGCAAGCGUGUUUUCGCGCUGCUGUCCGGGUAGGUUGCACGAGGCGUCCGGUAACGGGCGUCCCAGAUGAAUGGCCAUCUAUCGUUGCCGGUUUCGCCGGCAGCGUGGACAGAACCCGGCUUACAGGCCGUCUGGCACC